CCCAAUUUCCCUUUCUUCUUCUUCUCCAAAGAUCUCCAGCAGUAGCGCUGGACGAUCCUCACCCUCCCUCCUUUUGGCGCGUGUUUGAUCCCUUUCCCUACGUAUUUCCCUCGUUCUUUAGGCGCGUGAGCAGUCCCUCCUUAACGGCUCUUUCCCUCCUUUCGACCUCGUACGUUUUUCCAGCUGUGGUCCUUCAAAAAUCGUCCCUGCAAAAUAUCGUCCUUGCUCGUUUGGAGAUGAUGACACGUCGCUCGACAAAGACGCAAGAGACGAUCCAGCCCUCAACCUCUCUCUAUUCUGUUGAAAGGUUGUGAAUCGCGGGAUUGUUCGCAGUAAUUGGAUAAGAUUUGAGGGUAUGAAUUCAAACUUGGGGUUGCUAAUAUGAUUUUGCCCUCGUUUUUUUUUCUUUUUCCUUCUUCGUUUCUUCUUCUACCGACCCCCCUAUAAAAAGAAUGCUCUCCCUUCAGUUGAAACAGAUAGAAAAAAGGGGAAAGAAACAGGGAAAGAAAGAAAAUGUAGAUAAAAAGGGAGUAAAGAGAAAGGUGUUACAGAGGAAUAUCGCUACAAGUUUCCGCCAUAUCGUUAUAUAUAAGUAUUUUGAGAUAUUUUCUUUAAACCAUAGAGAUGUUCGUCACUGUCCUAUCGCUACCUACAAGGAGUUCUAUAUCGCCUUUCGAGUUUGAGUGUUGUGGUGGAAGACCUCAUCGUUAUUUGUUGUUCCAGUUGGCUGCUCUAAAACAGAAAUUCUCCUCGAGUCCUCAUGGACUUUAAUCCAUCUUGUUGCACUUCCUCAUUGAGCCAUAAAGGCUCAAAACAUCUUCUUCGAGUCGUAGCCCCCCUCAUAACUGGUGUACAGGUAUCAAAACCAGCAGAUGGAGUGCUGAAAAUUAAAUUUGCAGAUGCUGAGAAGCUGUCUACCAGCUAUAUACAAAUUUUAUACACCGAUAUACAGGUUGAAAUAUGCACAGGAGGAAAAAUUUGAAAUUUGGAUUGAUAGCAGUGAAAAUAUGCUGCUGAAAAAGGAACUUUCAACUUUCGAAAGUUGAAAAACAGGCUGAUAUAACAUCCGUAUACACUGAUAUACAGAUACGCUAUACCAAAUAGGUGUAAAAAAUGCAAAUUGCAGGUUUAACGUACAGGGACACUGAUUUCAAGUAAAAUACAGGAAUAGUGAAUGAAUACGUGCAUAGGAUAUAGCCCGUAUACAUUGGUAUACAUCAUUUGGGCAGCGAUAUACAAAUGUUAAAAUAGUAUAAAAAUUGUACAGGUACAAAUACACCGAAAUAAUAUGGAAAAUACAAGUGGAAUCGCGAGAAUUCAUAUUCAAACAAAUUACAGGGCUCAAAAGGUCCAAAAUGGAACUGGAUAUACACCGUACACAACAGUAUACAUCAUUUGUAUACCCUAGUUCUUUUUUCAAGAAAAUGGGCCAGGGCCCUUUCAGCAAUAAUUUUUUAAUAGGCCCAAAGACCAAUAUAUUUUGCAGGUUUUAAUUUGUUAAGGGGGCCAAGCCCAUAUUUUGAAAAUUAUUAUAAGACAGGUGGGCCAAAGCCCAAAUUUAAUGAAUUUGGGUAUUUAGCCCAAAUUCAAAUGUUCUCUUCUCUCCCUUCUUUAUUUAUUGGAAAAAUUACUUAAAUACACUACUUUAAUUAUCUUAAUAACCAUUUAUCCCAACUUAUUUUAAAAUUUUCAAAAAUCCCUUAUUCCCCCAAUUUAAAAAAAUAUAAAAGAUACAUCAAGAUUUCCCACCUUUUUUUCACCCAAUUGGCAAGUUUUACUUUACCAAAAACUAAAUCCUAUUUUCAAGCUACCCACUUCCCCAUUAACAUCCCCAAUCAAAAUUUACCAUAUUAAUUUUUAUUCCUUUUCCUUUUUAUUUCCCUACAUUGUAGGUGUAUAAUUGUCUACUUUUAAUUCCCCAUUCCACACGUUUGCAGGUAAAUUUUGAAUUCCAGUUCAAAUUUUCAUCCAUAUCUAUUUGAUAUUUUGUAGGACUCUCUUUCCAUCUACCAAAUUUUCUCCUUCAGUCUAUUCAUCGUGACUAUCUUUCCAUCUAACCAGAUUUUCUCCUUCAUUCUCUUCAUCGUGUGAGUUUACAAAUAUCAUGGAAGAGUGUGGUAAUUCCAAACGUUUGUAUGAUUCUGAUGAUGAGCUGUGGGCUGAGAUUAGAUCUAAGAGAUUGCAUGACCCAUUGUUGAUAACAAUGUACUUGAGCCAAAGAAGAAGACUGAAGAAAUCAAGAAAAAAAGGCCAAGAAAAGUUACAUCAACUGUGUCAAGACCCACACUUCCUAAGGGCAUGCAUUAUGUUAUUAAAAAAAUUCCGGCGCAUCCAUUGAGGUUUGGGGCUACUUUCAAUUUUGAUUUUGUGAAUAAAAUCAAAUUAUCUAUAAAAGACGAAGGCGUUGCACUGUUUAAGAAAACAAUUUUUGGACCAUAUUUGGAAAUUCCA
Solanum pennellii is the source of this 2451-nucleotide long non-coding RNA. RefSeq lists it as uncharacterized. The transcript is spliced from 4 exons. The record is from RefSeq and is a predicted model, not a curated record. NCBI's taxonomy places the organism in Eukaryota, Viridiplantae, Streptophyta, Magnoliopsida, Solanales, Solanaceae.